Molecule: long non-coding RNA, 1452 nt
Organism: Cyprinus carpio (common carp)
Lineage: Eukaryota; Metazoa; Chordata; Actinopteri; Cypriniformes; Cyprinidae
Exons: 2
Source: RefSeq, a predicted model, not a curated record
UUCUAAUUAUCUUUUAGUUUCUUUUUUUUCAUAUAAUGUUCAUAUUUUAUUUUAUUUAAGCUUUAUUUCAGUGAUCAAAAAUUAUUUUAAUGUUUGAAUUGUUCUGACACUCUGCCUAACAUCUAAUUUAGUGUUUAAUGGAAGGCAGAAAAUGGUUUGGAACGACAUGAGGGUGAGUAAAUGACGGGAUUCUCAUCAGGUGAACUGUUCCUUUAAGGGUUUUGAGUUUGGGUUAAGUGUUCCACUUUCCCUGUGGGCUGAACCUGUGUAUAGCUUAGCUAGCGUUAUGCUAGCCUUUCGUCAGAUUAGGUGACCUUAUCACAGCAGCUGUCUGUUUGUGUGUGCGUUGUGGUAGGAGUAUUGCCUGUCAUAUGUGGCUGUGGCUGUGUAUGCUAUGCGGCGGAGUUUUUGCGGUCUUGUGCCGAGAGGGGUAUUGUAUUGCAUAGGAAGUGUUUUGGGCCGUGUGGCAGAUGGUGGGUAAUAAAAUAUCAUUACAUUUGUGCUCCGAGGCUUUGCUGGCAGCCAAAUGAUAAUAUAGAAGUCUGCAACUUCAGCAGCAAUGAGAUUCUCUGACCGUAUUACCUGGGAAUACAGAGCAGGGAAAACACACAGAGUGCAGAGAACAGAAUUCUAUAUGCUGAGAAAACUCUGGCUGGACCCCUGGGAUGGAAUUGUUUUCUGUGACUGGGAUGAAGAGAUGGAAAAGUCACCUCUUCCGUUCGUGCCUGUGUUAGCAGUGGCACAUGGGCUGAGGUCAUCACAAACACACCAUCAUCUGGCUAUAUUGGCCUGCCAGAUUUCAUCUUGUUGUUUUUCCAUCGAUCACUGCAUGCAACUCUCAAUAGGGCUUUAAAGGAGAGGUUGAUGUGCUCGAUAGUGUACCACUGUUGUUGUUGUUUUUCCUUUUCUUAUUUUUCUUAUUUUUUUUUUUUUUUUUUUUGCCUGUAGUGUGCUAGAGGGGUUAUGUUGUCAUUUUUGGACUCUGUGUAUUGAUGUUGCAUGCUCCUUUCAUUUUUACCCCGGUUCUGCUAUCACAACUUUUUUUUUUUUUUCUUGGGUUUUAAAUUUCAAGCAAUACUUUUUUUGAAGCCUUAAAUAUUUUAAUAGAUGCAAAGUGUUCAGCUGAGGUCGCCCACACACUAGAGUUUACUCUGUGUCUGAGAACGCUGCGGAUCAAUUCCCUCCUGGAAUAUCCAGCUUAAGCUGAUAGCUGUGUCGUGGAACUUGCGAGCUGGUUUAUAGACAGUCUAAACUGGUAUUUAAUUGGUCUAAGCUGGUCAUUCGUAAUUUACUAGGCAAUCUUGGACCAACAAACCAGAUUUGGUUUGGAAAUUUGGAAGGCAGGUUUGGAAAUCCUAUUUAUUGUAUCCCCACUUGAUGUCACACUUCUUCUAAACUCUCAAAAACCGACUUAUCAUUCCUAUCGACAAGCUUCCCAUAGUCAGCAGGCAU